This 502-nucleotide ribosomal RNA is filed under the name Mycobacterium sp. N485. RNAcentral's name for it is "bacterial SSU rRNA". It matches the Rfam family "Bacterial small subunit ribosomal RNA", at positions 1 to 522 of the family's 1533-position model. The record is from RNAcentral. Lineage: Bacteria; Bacillati; Actinomycetota; Actinomycetes; Mycobacteriales; Mycobacteriaceae.
UGGAGAGUUUGAUCCUGGCUCAGGACGAACGCUGGCGGCGUGCUUAACACAUGCAAGUCGAACGGAAAGGCCCUUUCGGGGGUGCUCGAGUGGCGAACGGGUGAGUAACACGUGGGUGAUCUGCCCUGCACUUUGGGAUAAGCCUGGGAAACUGGGUCUAAUACCGAAUANGACCAUGNUAUNCAUGUGGUGUGGUGGAAAGCUUUUGCGGUGUGGGAUGGGCCCGCGGCCUAUCAGCUUGUUGGUGGGGUAAUGGCCUACCAAGGCGACGACGGGUAGCCGGCCUGAGAGGGUGUCCGGCCACACUGGGACUGAGAUACGGCCCAGACUCCUACGGGAGGCAGCAGUGGGGAAUAUUGCACAAUGGGCGCAAGCCUGAUGCAGCGACGCCGCGUGGGGGAUGACGGCCUUCGGGUUGUAAACCCCUUUCAGUACCGACGAAGCGGAAGUGACGGUAGGUACAGAAGAAGCACCGGCCAACUACGUGCCAGCAGCCGCGGUA